Molecule: non-coding RNA, 873 nt
Organism: Lolium perenne
Lineage: Eukaryota; Viridiplantae; Streptophyta; Magnoliopsida; Poales; Poaceae
Source: RefSeq, a predicted model, not a curated record
UGAAACCUAGGGGGUUAUGUGGACUUCUUUCCUCUUCCGCGUCCUCUUCAAGGGCAUGGCGAGCAAGGAGGUGGUAAAGUCGCGGGACCGGGACCCCGGCCUCGCGGUGCUCGCCGUGGCUCUGUGCGACUCGCGGGGGAAGGUGGUGCUCAGGAUACAGAAGACUGUGGAAGGGUUCGCCGGCGGACGCAUGAUGCUCGAGCUGAUGGCGCUCACGGAAGGCCUCCAGGCGGAGGUCGGGUUUGGGAUCCAAAGCCUCACUAUCGUUACCGACUACAGGGCGCUGCACAACCAUCUGCGAGAGAAAGCUCGGUUCAUAAUUCAGUGAAAUCGAGAUCGCAAUGCAUCAACUUCCUGGUUACCUCGCUCAAGAAGAACCGGCAGAACGCUUAUCGGUACUUGGUUAAUACAAGAUGAGUGGAUGUUUAAGAUGGCGUCGUCAUCUUCUAUCGCGCCAUCACACACAAGCUCAACCUCAUGGGCAGGGCUAGGGAGCUUAUUGAACUCAGAUGGAGGGUGGCGCGUGCGCAUGGAGGACCAGAACAACGGCAGCGGGAAGAAGACAUGCCGGAGGAGCGGGAAGAUGACGUACGUCGUCAUCGCCGGAGCAGCGGGAGUAUUGGUAAGCUUGUGCGUGUUGAUUAACAGUAGACGAUGUCAGUGUAUUAUCAGCAUGUGAUCACUCCUUGCUUUUUGGCAUAUACUUCUGCCCAGCAAAAAAAAUUUUACUUCCAAAACAAUCUUGGAAGCUUUUUUUGUUGCCAAAAACACCCUCAACUAUGCUGCUUUAUUGUCUAGCAAUCCAUUAGUAUUUUACAAGAUAUACUUAAUAUUUAUUCAAAAUAUGCUAUUUUUCCACUGUAUUUUUAUACA